AGGCUAUUCGAUUAGGGGUGAAAUCGCAGUUUUUACACAGCUGAGCCAUAGGUUCGAAUCCUAUAUAGCCUA
Molecule: transfer RNA, 72 nt
Rfam family: tRNA
About the family: Transfer RNA (tRNA) molecules are approximately 80 nucleotides in length.
Source: Rfam